GAGUUUGAUCAUGGCUCAGAUUGAACGCUGGCGGCAUGCCUUACACAUGCAAGUCGAACGGCAGCACGGGAGCUUGCUCCUGGUGGCGAGUGGCGAACGGGUGAGUAAUGCAUCGGAACGUAUCCUGGAGUGGGGGAUAACGUAGCGAAAGUUACGCUAAUACCGCAUAUUCUGUGAGCAGGAAAGCGGGGGACCUUCGGGCCUCGCGCUCUUGGAGCGGCCGAUGUCGGAUUAGCUAGUUGGUGAGGUAAAGGCUCACCAAGGCGACGAUCCGUAGCAGGUCUGAGAGGAUGAUCUGCCACACUGGAACUGAGACAGGUCCAGACUCCUACGGGAGGCAGCAGUGGGGAAUUUUGGACAAUGGGGGCAACCCUGAUCCAGCCAUGCCGCGUGAGUGAAGAAGGACCUCCGGGUUGUAAAGCUCUUUCGCGAGGGGAGAAAUUGCACCGGACAAUAACCUGGUGUAGAUGACGGUACCUUGAUAAGAAG
This 489-nucleotide ribosomal RNA is filed under the name bacterium enrichment culture clone ALO1_GLFRUDD03GMM0X. Its description in RNAcentral is "bacterial SSU rRNA". It matches the Rfam family "Bacterial small subunit ribosomal RNA", at positions 9 to 490 of the family's 1533-position model. The record is from RNAcentral.